GACGAACGCUGGCGGCGUGCUUAACACAUGCAAGUCGUACGGUAAGGCCCUUUCGGGGGUCCACGAGUGGCGAACGGGUGAGUAACACGUGAGUAACCUGCCCACAACUUUGGGAUAACGCUAGGAAACUGGUGCUAAUACUGGAUAUGUGCUCCUGCUGCAUGGUGGGGGUUGGAAAGCUCCGGCGGUUGUGGAUGGACUCGCGGCCUAUCAGCUUGUUGGGGGGGUAGUGGCCUACCAAGGCGGCGACGGGUAGCCGGCCUGAGAGGGUGAACGGCCACAGUGGGACUUGGAUACGGCCCAGACUCCUACGGGGGGCAGCAGUGGGGAAUAUUGCACAAUGGGCGCAAGCCUGAUGCAGCAACGCCGCGGGCGGGAGGACGGCCUUCGGGCUGUAAACCGCUUUCAGCAGGGACGAAGCUUUUUGUGACGGUACCUGCAGAAGAAGCACUGGCUAACUACGUG
This 465-nucleotide ribosomal RNA is filed under the name uncultured bacterium. Its description in RNAcentral is "partial 16S ribosomal RNA". It matches the Rfam family "Bacterial small subunit ribosomal RNA", at positions 28 to 507 of the family's 1533-position model. The record is from RNAcentral.